This is a long non-coding RNA of Lathyrus oleraceus (garden pea), 753 nucleotides long. RefSeq lists it as uncharacterized. The record is from RefSeq and is a predicted model, not a curated record. The transcript has 2 exons. NCBI's taxonomy places the organism in Eukaryota, Viridiplantae, Streptophyta, Magnoliopsida, Fabales, Fabaceae.
GUUUACUCAAAUUCAAUCAUUCACGUCCAACACCUUGUGGACCCUUGGAACUUUUGUUGCCGGAAUAUUCCACCUCCACCGCGUCGGGAUCGCCUCCGGCGGCGGUGGAGGACCAAACACCAAAAACCAAUACAUCAAAAUCUUCGUUUCCCUGAGCUAUAAACGAAUCCAACCUCAAUUUUAUCCAAUUCAUACCAAAUCCACCAAACCGAAUUGAACUAUCUAAGAACCCUAAAUUAGAUUUCAUAAAUUAAACCCCAACAUGGAGGAAUCAAAGCACCUAGGGUUAGGGCUUUGAUUCCUCUGCUCAAGAACUACACCAUGGUAACAAGUUCAAGGUGAAAGAAGGAGAAAAAACUAAGACCUACCACCGGAGAGGACGAAGUUGAAGACGACGACGACAGCAGAAACUCAGAUACUCUGCUUCAAUUUCGAGGUUGAUAUAUCAAAUGACUUGGCAUGACAUUAUCAAGAUCUUGGCAAAGCAUGAUUGAUAUUGGACAUUAAGGAGGAUGCUUGAUAUGAAUCAUGAACAAAAUUUGGAUAACUUAAAGAACCUGAUGGCACAAAUGGAGUUACAAAAGAAAAGUAGAUUUUGGGUCAGUUUGACUUUGAUCAACUGUUUAACCAAAAUCCAACUGUUGAUCAAAAGUCAACCUUAGGUCAAUAAUUUGAUUUUUGUUUAAUUUUGUAUUUUUCCUUCAUGUAACGAAAUUUGAAUGUUUGUAAUGAAAAAUGGAGCUUUGAAUGCAA